GCGAAGAGGUCACACCCGUUCCCAUGCCGAACACGGAAGUUAAGCUCUUCAGCGCCGAUGGUAGUUGGGGGCUUCCCCCUGUGAGAGUAGGA
This 92-nucleotide ribosomal RNA is filed under the name Bacillus licheniformis. The record is from RNAcentral. Lineage: Bacteria; Bacillati; Bacillota; Bacilli; Caryophanales; Bacillaceae.